ACGUAGGGAGCGAGCGUUGUCCGGAAUUACUGGGUGUAAAGGGCGUGUAGGCGGACUAGCAAGUCAGCUGUGAAAUCCAGGGGCUCAACCCCUGGCCUGCAGUUGAAACUGUUAGCCUUGAGUGGUGGAGAGGAAAGCGGAAUUCCUAGUGUAGCGGUGAAAUGCGUAGAUAUUAGGAGGAACACCAGUGGCGAAGGCGGCUUUCUGGACACUAACUGACGCUGAGGCGCGAAAGCGUGGGGAGCAAACAGG
RNAcentral lists this ribosomal RNA (252 nucleotides) under uncultured bacterium. Its description in RNAcentral is "partial 16S ribosomal RNA". It matches the Rfam family "Bacterial small subunit ribosomal RNA", at positions 525 to 776 of the family's 1533-position model. The record is from RNAcentral.